This 311-nucleotide ribosomal RNA is filed under the name uncultured bacterium. RNAcentral describes it as "bacterial SSU rRNA". It matches the Rfam family "Bacterial small subunit ribosomal RNA", at positions 29 to 334 of the family's 1533-position model. The record is from RNAcentral.
AGUGAACGCUGGCGGCGUGCUUAACACAUGCAAGUCGAACGAGAACGGUCCUAGCUUGCUAGGAUGUCAGCUAAGUGGCGGACGGGUGAGUAAUGUAUAGUUAAUUUGCCCCUUAGAGAGGGAUAACAGUUGGAAACGACUGCUAAUACCUCAUACUCCUUCUGCCUUAAUGGUAGUUGGGAAAUGUUUUUUCGCUAAGGGAUGAGACUAUAUGGUAUCAGGUAGUUGGUAGGGUAAGAGCCUACCAAGCCAAUGACGCCUAGCUGGUCUGAGAGGAUGAUCAGCCACACUGGAACUGAGACACGGUCCAG